CCUACGGGGGACAGCAGUGGGGAAUAUUGCGCAAUGGGCGAAAGCCUGACGCAGCGACGCCGCGUGCGGGAUGAAGGUCUUCGGAUCGUAAACCUCUGUCAGCAGGGAAGAACGGUCACUGUGCUAAUCAGCAGUGAAUUGACGGUACCUGCAAAGGAAGCACCGGCUAACUCCGUGCCAGCAGCCGCGGUAAUACGGAGGGUGCGAGCGUUAAUCGGAAUUAAUGGGCGUAAAGCGGUCGUAGGCGGUAUGUCAAGUCUAGGGUGAAAUCCCCGCGCUCAACGUGGGGACUGCCUUUGAAACUGGUAAACUAGAGUGAGUGAGAGGAUAGUGGAAUUCCAGGUGUAGGAGUGAAAUGCGUAGAUAUCUGGAAGAACAUCAGUGGCGAAGGCGACUAACUGGCACUUAACUGACGCUGAGGAGCGAAAGCGUGGGUAGCAAACAGGAUUAGAUACCCUAGUAGUC
This 465-nucleotide ribosomal RNA is filed under the name uncultured bacterium. RNAcentral describes it as "partial 16S ribosomal RNA". It matches the Rfam family "Bacterial small subunit ribosomal RNA", at positions 338 to 795 of the family's 1533-position model. The record is from RNAcentral.